This 537-nucleotide ribosomal RNA is filed under the name uncultured bacterium. RNAcentral describes it as "bacterial SSU rRNA". It matches the Rfam family "Bacterial small subunit ribosomal RNA", at positions 28 to 520 of the family's 1533-position model. The record is from RNAcentral.
GAUGAACGCUGGCGGUGUGCCUAAUACAUGCAAGUCGUACGCAUUCCCGUUUUUGAUUGAAGGUGCUUGCACCUGAUUGAUAAAACAUCGGAAUGAGUGGCGGACGGGUGAGUAACACGUGGGUAACCUGCCCAGAAGUGGGGGAUAACAUUUGGAAACAGAUGCUAAUACCGCAUAAUAGAUAGAACCACAUGGUUCUAUUUUGAAAGAUGGCCUUUGUGCUAUCACUUCUGGAUGGACCCGCGGUGUAUUAGCUAGUUGGUAAGGUAACGGCUUACCAAGGCAAUGAUACAUAGCCGAACUGAGAGGUUGAUCGGCCACAAUGGGACUGAGACACGGCCCAUACUCCUACGGGAGGCAGCAGUAGGGAAUCUUCCACAAUGGGCGCAAGCCUGAUGGAGCAACACCGCGUGAGUGAAGAAGGGUUUCGGCUCGUAAAACUCUGUUGUUAAAGAAGAACGUAUCUAAGAGUAACUGCUUAGGUAGUGACGGUAUUUAACCAGAAAGCCACGGCUAACUACGUGCCAGCCGCCGCGU